GCUGGCGGCACGCCUAUACAUGCAAGUCGAACGAAGUAGCAAUACUUAGUGGCAGACGGGUGAGUAACAUGUAGGUAUCUUCCCUUUGGUGAGGAAUAACACGAGGAAACUUGUGCUAAUACCUCAUAAGUCUUUACGGAGAAAGCUUUACGCGCCAAUGGAUGAGCCUGCACUUGAUUAGUUUGUUGGUGGGGUAAUGGCCUACCAAGACAAUGAUCAAUAGCUGAUUUGAGAGGAUGAUCAGCCACAUUGGGACUGAGACACGGCCCAAACUCCUACGGGAGGCAGCAGUAGGGAAUCUUGCACAAUGGAGGAAACUCUGAUGCAGCGAUGCCGCGUGAGUGAAGAAGGCCUUUGGGUUGUAAAGCUCUUUCGUCGGGGAAGAAAAUGACUGUACCCGAAUAAGAAGGUCCGGCUAACUUCGUGCCAGCAGCCGCGGUAAUACGAAGGGACCUAGCGUAGUUCGGAAUUACUGGGCUUAAAGAGUUCGUAGGUGGUUAAAAAAGUUGGUGGUGAAAUCCCAGAGCUUAACUCUGGAACUGCCAUCAAAACUUUUUAGCUAGAGUAUGAUAGAGGAAAGCAGAAUUUCUAGUGUAGAGGUGAAAUUCGUAGAUAUUAGAAAGAAUACCGAUUGCGAAGGCAGCUUUCUGGAUCAUUACUGACACUGAGGAACGAAAGCAUGGGUAGCGAAGAGGAUUAGAUACCCUCGUAGUCCAUGCCGUAAACGAUGUGUGUUAGACGUUGGAAAUUUAUUUUCAGUGUCACAGUGAAAACUAUAAACACACCGCCUGGGGAGUACGACGCAAGUAAACUAAAUGGAUGCU
Molecule: ribosomal RNA, 824 nt
Filed under: alpha proteobacterium SCGC AAA240-B21
Lineage: Bacteria; Pseudomonadati; Pseudomonadota; Alphaproteobacteria
Description: SSU rRNA
Rfam family: Bacterial small subunit ribosomal RNA
Source: RNAcentral